Long non-coding RNA from Perognathus longimembris pacificus (Pacific pocket mouse), 248 nucleotides. RefSeq lists it as uncharacterized. The record is from RefSeq and is a predicted model, not a curated record. NCBI's taxonomy places the organism in Eukaryota, Metazoa, Chordata, Mammalia, Rodentia, Heteromyidae. The transcript has 3 exons.
GUUGUAGCCCAAGAAGAGGUCUGUAGAGUUGUUAAAAGUUAACUGUUGAAUGUAACUUCCAGUCUGGAGUAAAGCAGCUGAUGGACAUCUGAUGCUGGUAACUCCUUGGGAAAGUAGGCUAAGUAAGGUUAUAGGUUCCUGGCUAGGUAGGGUCAGCGUCCCUGAGUCAGCCUGAAGUAGUUACAGAAGAUGGAUGAUCUUUGCCCCUCAGCUCCCCUUAAGAUCAAGGGACAAGAGUCACUCCCAAG